RNAcentral lists this long non-coding RNA (333 nucleotides) under Brachypodium distachyon (stiff brome). RNAcentral describes it as "long non-coding RNA (BDIS_LNC002221)". Lineage: Eukaryota; Viridiplantae; Streptophyta; Magnoliopsida; Poales; Poaceae. The record is from RNAcentral.
GUCUUCUAUCUUGCUAGCUCUAUUUUAUUUGCUCCCCCCACCCCCACACCCCCAACUUGUAUUUUGUGUUUAUGAUCAAUAUAUAUACCGGCAGAGCCAGUUACUUAAAAAUACCGUCGGAGCAUCUCCUGCAGUUCUCGGCAGAAAGAAAAACAUUUCCAUGCCCGGGAAGAAAAUUGGGGUUCAGAGUUCUUUCGUUGUGAGGAGGGCCAGAAUGGAUGCCCAGCUCGGAAUCAAAUUUGUCUGAUUGGUGGAUAUCGAUCCCACUGCAGGGGAAGUGAAGAGAGGACUUCGAGUAAAUUAAAAAAAAACAUCACGUUACAUGUUAGGGUU